RNAcentral lists this ribosomal RNA (472 nucleotides) under uncultured bacterium. RNAcentral describes it as "bacterial SSU rRNA". It matches the Rfam family "Bacterial small subunit ribosomal RNA", at positions 28 to 507 of the family's 1533-position model. The record is from RNAcentral.
GACGAACGCUGGCGGCGUGCCUAACACAUGCAAGUCGAGCGGGGUUGAAGCGAGGGGUAACUCGAGUUUCUACCUAGCGGCGGACGGGUGAGUAACGCGUGGGCAACCUGCCUCAAGGACUGGGAUAACAGCUCGAAAGGGCUGCUAAUACCGGAUAAGCCUAUGGCCUCGCAUGGGGCCAUGAGCAAAGGGGAAACCCGCCUUGAGAUGGGCCCGCGUCCCAUCAGCUAGUUGGUGAGGUGAAGGCUCACCAAGGCGACGACGGGUAGCCGGCCUGAGAGGGUGACCGGCCACACUGGGACUGAGACACGGCCCAGACUCCUACGGGGGGCAGCAGUGGGGAAUCUUGCACAAUGGGCGAAAGCCUGAUGCAGCGACGCCGCGUGAGCGAAGAAGGCCUUCGGGUUGUAAAGCUCUGUCUGGAGGACGAAGGAAGUGACGUACUCCGGAGGAAGCCACGGCUAACUACGUG